AUUGAACGCUGGCGGAAUGCUUUACACAUGCAAGUCGAACGGCAGCACGGACUUCGGUCUGGUGGCGAGUGGCGAACGGGUGAGUAAUGUAUCGGAACGUGCCCAGUCGUGGGGGAUAACGUAGUGAAAAUUACGCUAAUACCGCAUACGAUCUAUGGAUGAAAGCGGGGGAUCGCAAGACCUCGCGCGAUUGGAGCGGCCGAUAUCAGAUUAGGUGGUUGGUGGGGUAAAGGCCCACCAAGCCAACGAUCUGUAGCUGGUCUGAGAGGACGACCGGCCACACGGGAGCGGAGACUCGGUCCAGACUUCUACGGGAUGCAGCAGUGGGGAAUUUUGGACAAUGGGCGAAAGCCUGAUCCAGCCAUUCCGCGUGCAGGAUGAAGGCCCUGGGGUUGUAAACUGCUUUUGUACAGAACGAAAAGGUCUCUACUAAUACUAGGAGCUCAUGACGGUACUGUAAGAAUAAGCACCGGCUAACUACGUGCCAGCCGCCGCCGUAA
This 500-nucleotide ribosomal RNA is filed under the name uncultured bacterium. Its description in RNAcentral is "partial 16S ribosomal RNA". It matches the Rfam family "Bacterial small subunit ribosomal RNA", at positions 30 to 523 of the family's 1533-position model. The record is from RNAcentral.